Molecule: ribosomal RNA, 503 nt
Filed under: uncultured bacterium
Lineage: Bacteria
Description: bacterial SSU rRNA
Rfam family: Bacterial small subunit ribosomal RNA
Source: RNAcentral
AGAGUUUGAUCCUGGCUCAGAUUGAACGCUGGCGGAAUGCUUUACACAUGCAAGUCGAGCGGCAGCGCGGGGCAACCUGGCGGCGAGCGGCGAACGGGUGAGUAAUGCAUCGGAACAUGUCCAUGUCGUGGGGGAUAGCCCGGCGAAAGCCGGAUUAAUACCGCAUACGCUCGAGAGAGGAAAGCCGGGGACCGCAAGGCCUGGCGCGAUUGGGUUGGCCGAUGUCCGAUUAGCUAGUUGGUGAGGUAAAGGCUUACCAAGGCGAUGAUCGGUAGCUGGUCUGAGAGGAUGAUCAGCCACACUGGGACUGAGACACGGCCCAGACUCCUACGGGAGGCAGCAGUGGGGAAUUUUGGACAAUGGGGGCAACCCUGAUCCAGCCAUUCCGCGUGAGUGAAGAAGGCCUUCGGGUUGUAAAGCUCUUUUGUCCGGAGCGAAACGGAAGUGGUGAAUAUCCACUUCUACUGACGGUACCGGAAGAAUAAGCACCGGCUAACUACGUG